Molecule: transfer RNA, 77 nt
Filed under: Candidatus Altimarinota bacterium
Lineage: Bacteria; Candidatus Altimarinota
Description: tRNA-Arg
Rfam family: tRNA
About the family: Transfer RNA (tRNA) molecules are approximately 80 nucleotides in length. Their secondary structure includes four short double-helical elements and three loops (D, anti-codon, and T loops).
Source: RNAcentral
AUGGACUUAGCUUAAUUAGAAUAGCAACUAAUUUCCGAAGUUAGUAGACGUAGGUGCAAUUCCUACAGUCCAUGCCA